GCAGGAACCCCUCCAAGAUAUGGAAGAGGUGUUUGUGCCCGCGGGUGCCUUAGAACACCAAAGUUACCUCCUUGGACAGGCCGAAAACCUGCAACAGCACCAUAACCAAGAUCAAGCCGCAGAUCCCUUCCAGGGCCAAAAGAACCAGGUGGUCUAAUCCAUCUGUCAUCAUCAACAAUUCCACUAGCACGGCGAUCUACUCGAGAUCCACUAGAUUGCCUAUCAAAUUUUCUUCCAGGACUAGGGUAUGAAUCAUGAUCAACAGCAUGAGAUGCAUUGACAUUUGAUGCCAUCAAGGCCGCUGCAAUAUCAGAAGCAAUCUCAAAUCCCUGUGGAAGAUCAGUAUAUUGUCCUGCAAACUUAAGAAGAAAAUCUCUGGAAUACUUCUUCUUUAUAUUCCCACUUCCAUCUUCCUCAUGACUUGCUAAUCCCCCAUGAGCCUGUUCGUCAGUGUCUGAAGUUUCCAUGUUUGGUGCAGAUAUGUCAGCAGCAUCUUCCCAAUCAUCGAGUUCAGCUUUACUCUGUGUAAUUUUCUCACUUUCUAUGGCAUCCACCUGAAGGGCCUCAUGAGAUGCCUGUUUCAAAUUAACACCAACAGAACUGAUUUCUGUACUUGCUAAAGGUGCGACAGUCUCUUUCUUUUCCUCAGGACCUUUAUACGCCAUAUAGAGAUCAGAAGUUGUCCCAGCAGCAUCCGCUUUCUGAAGAAUUUCUUUUAGUUUUUUCCUCCCACUAGUUAUAGUACUCUUUGUCCUACUAAGUUGUGGCGCUGGUUUGUCCUUUGAACUAGUUAGCAGAACACCUUCCCCUUCAUAAUUUGAAGUUGACUCCAAGAGGUCAGGAGUUGGGACAGGUGCAGACUGGUGGGAUGAUAUAACAGUUUUAGUAGCAGUCAUCUCAUAGCUAUUAGAGGGACUAGAAGAAGGAUUGGAACCAAAGGUCAUGAGAACAUGAGAACUUUCGACACCAGUAGGGUCAGCAAUUCUAGAGGUAGAGAUAUCCUUACUAUCAGUGGCUUCCGCAUUUUCUACCUUGCCUCCCAAAUCUUCAUUGUGUACCCUCUGCUCAGUUCCUGGGGUACGAACAACAAUGUUGGUAGCUACUACCUUUGAUGCAGAAUCCUGGUCAGAUUUAAGUUCUGUAGAUUUCAAGGGAACCAGUUGAGAAGAUAAGUGCUCUUCAGGAAAAUGUUUUUCCUCUUCAUUAAUUCCACUAAUUUCAGACCUUGGUCGUUCAUCCAGCUUGGAAGAACCAUCAAUCUUAGCAUGCUGAACAAUGUCAAAGCUAUCAACUUUACUGCCAGUACCAGAAACUUCAGAAGAAACAGUGUUUAAGCUUUCUAUCUUGCUCUCUGUCUUCGGGUCUAAGGAAGAAGGCAAAGCAUCAUUAAUGGAUGGUAAUUCCCUGGUAGAUUGUGACAAAACAUCAACAGCUGCUAAUGAUGUUAAAGCUUUUUUAGCCUCUAGAGCUUCAGUAACUGCACCAUCUGAAGAAACACCACAUUCUGCAGGGUUGGUAGCCAAGUUGGAUGUUGAUGUAGACUGUACAGAAAUGUGUCAGACAAUGAAAACUGUAACAUAGUAAGUUCAACAAAAAAAGAGAAAAGGAAGAUACCUGAACUGGUGGCUGAAUUUGUCCUUCCUGACCUGGUUUCUUCUGAUAAUUUUUUAUAGAGUUUGACCUGCUCAAUCCCUCCCUCCUCUUGCCUUCAUUACUGGCAAGAACUAGCGUAGACUCCCUAGACGUGGAAUCUGAAGCAGACGAUACACAACUAGAUGUCUGGCUCUCAUCCAAGUUAGGCACUGGAACUCCACCAGAGUGUUUAGCUGCAGCUGGUAAUGACUCAGAUGUUAAAGAUUCAUUACCAGAUUUUGGCUGUUGUGCAGAGCUCUCCUGGCAAGUAUCCAAGUCCCUUUGAGCCUCAGAUGAACUAACCUCGCUAGCUGGUGUAGAAGGUUUUAGUGCCCCAGCCUUUUCAAUAGAAGGCAAGAUACUAGAAGAAGAGGAAUCUUCAAACUUCUCCCCGGCAGAAACAGAAGCUGGUUUAACUGUCACCUGUGUUAAACCUGAAGUAGUAAAGGGCAUAACAUUUUGUGCAUCACGUACGGGUUCCACAUUUGCUGAUUCUAAACUGCCACGAACAAGAUGAACGGAUUUAUUAACUGCCAAUGAACCAUGGGUAGCUGCUGAAUUCAUGAAAGAAAUGUUUUGAUGACCCUGGCUACCAGGAUAGCUAAAUCUCGGUCCUUGGGCAUUAGGUGCUAUCUGGUUACUAGCCAAUGGCCGUGAACUUGGUGGCGGAUAAAAUCCAGAUUUGGUAUUAUAGGAAUUGGAAUAGUAAUUGAUUGACUGAGAAGGAGCAAAGGAUGGAAUUGGCUGGGAUUGGAUUGGCAUGUUAGGAUGAGGCCUUGGAACUGAAGAACCACCAUCUGCACGUGUAUCUGUUCGUUUAUCAAGCCUUAAUUCUUCAUGAGUAUCGGGGUGAGUAAUCUUGACAGGAGUGGUUUUACGUGGAACACCAAACUUUCCACCUUGCUGUUGAGAAUACUGAGGGGUAAUGCCCAUCCCCAAGUUGCCCAAUUGAGGCGGAAGGUGGCCACCUAUGGAUGGUGUGAAACUCAAGCCCCCACCCUGAUGCAUCAUCCCUUGAGGUGGCAAUGGAAGAGCCUGAAGACCUGCAACAAAGACUUGCUGCUGCACCUGGGGUCCAUUUCCCAUAGCUAAGGAGAUAUGCAUUGGCAUUUGCAUUGAACUGGCAGUAACACUUUGAGACUGAAUCUGUGGAUUAGGCCCACCAUAUUGAAUGGGAACAUGAGGCUGGUGAUGAAAUGGCAUCUGCAUCGAUGUCAUCGGUAUAUUAAGAGGAGACGGCUUCUGUGUCUGGUUUGCAGGGGGUACUGGAGAAGGUUGUGCAUCUUUUUUUAUCUUGGGCACUGGAUAAACCUCCCCAGAACUAGAUUGCUCAGUUGCAACCGAAUCCUUUCUUGCUAGCUGCUGCUUAGGAAUGGGAAUGGGCAAAUUCGGCACACAUUUAAAAGAAGAAUCAUGGCGUGCCUGCAGGAAAAAAAAAUUCAUUUAAAUAUACGUAUAUCCCUAAAAGUCCAAAACUAUAUCAGUUAAAAAGCAUCUAGAGUAUAAACACGAGAGACCAACAACUAAGAGGGGCCCAAACAUGUCUUAUUCGUAUUUUUCUUCAGUUCUAUAGGAUCUGUCUCUUAACAUUCCAAAUGUAACCAAAGUGAGCAGGCGGAAGAGAUCUUUCAAUUUUAUGCGUCAUAACUUGCAUGUUUCUUCAAAGUUAAACUAAAUGAAGGAGAAUCACUCACUAAUUUUAUGAUCCAAUACUCCCUUAUCUUAUAAUUUUUUUUAAAAGCGAAGGCAAAAACCUUAUAUGGUACAGUUUAUGUAAGUGACAAACCUGAUUACGUUUCUGUUCAUCCAAAUUUGGGGGUGCUGAGCUAGUUCGAGCUGGAACCUGAUUCAAAUAAGAACACAUGCUAUUAGAAACAAGUUUUUGAAUGGUGAAAGAUGGAACGCCAAGAUGACAAUAGUAUGAUACCUGCAUUCCGUUCAUGAAACCAGGAGUUAUGGACCCGAACUGUAAAGAGAAUGGUUUGGAUGCAUCUUCUGGUGUUAAUCCAUCAGAAACAACAAAAAGCAUAUAUGUAGUUGCAUCAGCUUAGAGCUAACUAGAAAAACUAUCAAGUAAAAACAGCCAAAACUAUUACCCAAUUGAAGUAAAUUUGAUCCUAUAAGCUUAGUACACAAGCACAAUAUAAACAUACCUUUUUCGCUGGUUGAAGGAAAACUAGUGUCAGAACUUAUGGCGGCAGGUUGAGAAGUUGGAGGGUUUGAAACAGUUCGAGUGCUAUUCUGAAUGGUGUGCGAUUGAACAGGCUGGGCAGCAUUGCCUGCAAUUGAUGCAUCUGAUGCUCCUAUGAGAAAAAUAAAGGCAGAUGCAAAUAACACAAAUUUAAUCAUGUUUCUUCUACUGUAAACCUAUAGAGCUAAGCAAGUUUAAGAAAUUUGAAUCAUACCCAGUAACUGGGGUUGCAAAUGAGCACCAUUUGGUUUGGUGCGGGCAGCAGAAGUACUACUAGACUCGGUAGAACUCACGGCCGGUGAAUUUAACCGGUAUUGCCCUCCUUGUGCAUUGCUAGACUUCUUAAGACUAUCGUACAGAGUACCAACCAGAAAAGAAAAAAAAAAAGGAAAUCAUGAAAUUGCCUAUAAAACCUUAAUCCUAUGAACCCUAAAUAAAGUGGCAAUCAAAACGGAUGAUGACCAGUUGUUGUUACCUUCGAUUAGAAGACAAAGAAGAAGAUGAAGAAGGAGACCGCGAAGGGGCAGGGCCGCCGCCAGCGCCCUUACUGUAAACGCCUGAGGAGGACCGCUGUUGAUUAAAACUGGCUGAUCGCCCGGAUUUUCGGUAUUGUUGUUCGCUUUUAUCGGACCUAGAUUGAUUGAAGGACAUAUCCCACACUUGAUUCCUCCUACUCCCCUCUUUGUUUUUUGUUUACCUUCGUUUUAUCUCUGCAUCCAAACAGAUCGCAAAAUCCAUAUAAUUAAAGAAACAAUCAUGAUAUUCUAACAUAACGGCAAUGAGAUCAAUCAGCGAAAGACAGUACCUGUGAACUCCAAAGAGUUUGCAGAGAGAGAAUUAGGGUUUCUUUUAAUGGCUAGUCAUGUCGAUUACGCAGCAGAAGUAGAAGAAGAAACGAAAAUAAAAUAAAAAUUAAAACUUUAGUUUUUAAAAUAAAUAGAAAGAGAAAGAAAGAUAAGCCAAAUUAAAAAACAAAAUAAAAUAAAAUAGAGAGAGAGUUACUGGUAAGAGUAGUGAAGCGGAAUUUGGUCAAAAAGUCACUUCUAGUUUUUGGAGGUGAAAAACAGAGAACGACUCGUAAUUGCCGCUUUUGAGUUUUAUGUGAAAGAGAUCUCCCAUCUAAUAAUAAUAUAUUUAUUUGCUAAAAAUACAUAGUAAUGCAAAAUUGAUAAUUAAGGUUUAUAUGCACUUAUUAACUGGAUUUUCUUUAUAUCUUCUAUUAAAAUAUUCAUUAAUAUAAUACAAAAAGGCUAAUUAAAUUUUAACUCGAUUGAUAUUAUCAAUAUAAGAAAAUAUAGAUUCGAGUCUAUUGAAAUGUAUUAUCUCCUUUUUAUAGGCCGGGAGAAUAUAUAAUGAGAGGAUCAUAUGGGAGAUUCUUUCCGUCAGAUGUGAGAAUUAAUGUAAAAUACAAAACCUUUUUGCACAGACCAAGUUGGGGUUAAUGGAUAUUAAAUAUCGAUUUGGCCCCUGGACUUAAUUAAUACAACACAUCCUAUUCAAGCUUUACCCCAAAACUGAAUCCACCGCCAUACAACAAGAUCAUCUAACAGCAUGCUACCCCCAAGCCGAAGCUUAUUUGUUGUUGAUUCCCACCACUCCAUAUCAGAUGCAACAAUCUGAUCGUGGACACAUUCAUUUCAACCACUAGCUAUUCAAAUGGAAAGUGGAUUCUCGUAGUCAAUAAGGAAGACAUUCAGCAUCCACAUCCUCUGCAUGUUACUGUAGAAACAAGCAAGCAGCCAGCCAGCCACCAGUAAUUUAUGCAAUGAACCAAAUUUACAUAAGAAUAGCUAUUAUUCAGUUUAAGAAGCAGGUCAAAAAGAUCCCUUUUCUCACUUCCAUUCAAAAUUUAUUGUAUGGAACACCGUGUCUUCCUUCAUAGUUCCUGUACCUCUGUUCUUUACGUCUCCUUUCUCCUUGCGGUGCUUUCAGCUCCACGCAUUUUGUUCCCAGUGCGGUAAAAGUCUCUGAUAGACUUCUGCAAUCAUCUCAACCAUCAGCCACAUCUUUUCCAACUGUUCCUAUUUUUAUAUUCAUCCCUGACAGAUGCGAAGCACUCCCUGUAAUCAUGAGAAUGCUAAAAUGCCACCAGGGAUUACACAAUCAAUUCAAAAGAUUCUGGAUUCAUUUCCUGUUUAUGUCUGCUUCUAGAGAAAUAAUCGUAUGUAAUGUACAUGAGAAAUUCUAGUAGGAGACUUUUCCCCGAUGUUGCUUUAGAAAACUCAAUAUCUUCAUGUAUGUUACGGUAUGCUUGGUCCAUUAUUUUAUAAGAAACCUGGUCAAAUUCAAAGGAAAUCUCACUUAGCUUCUGACACCACAUUAGUGCCCUUCUAGGCAUCCCCUGCUUGCAAAAAUGGGACAACAAUACAUUAGUAGUAAUGACGUUGGGAAUAAAGGCCAUCUUAAGCAAUUUAGCGGUUAUGAUCAUAGCACGAUCCAGUAUGUCUUUACAAACACCAUUUAUCAUUGUGUUGUAUGUCACGGUGUCCGGAACAACACCUGCUGAAAGAAGUUCAUCUAGCAUCAUCACAGCUCUAUUCAUUUUUCGACUACUACAGAAACCAUGAAUCCGUAUAUUAUAGGUUGUGAUGUCUGGUUCCCACCCAUUAGCAUACAUGUUAUUCAUGAACUGAUUGACUUUGACCAUGUCAAAUGCCUCACAAUACCCACCAAUCAAAGUGUUAUAGGUUACAAUAUCUGGGACCAACCCUGCACAAUGCAUGUCCAUAAAUGCAUCAAAUGCUGAUUUCAUUGUGGCGUGUUUACAAAAUCCAUUAAUGAUGAUAUUGAAGGUAAAAAUGUCGGGAACAAGACCAUUUUGCUUCAUCUCUCUUCUCAAUUUCUGCGCUUCAUUUAUCCUUCCAAGGUUACAAAACCCAGCAAUCAAGGAGUUAUAUACAAAAUUAUUUGGCAUUAAUCCUUUGUCUGACAUUUCAAGAAACAAAUCAUAUGCCUCCUCAAUCAGACCAGCUUUGGAAAGUCCAUUGAUAAAGGCUGAGAACGCAACAGCAUCAGGGUAUAUCCCCCUACAUUGCAUUUCAUUCCAAAUAUCUUUAGCCCCAGCUAAAUCUCCCUUCCUGAAGUAACCUUCCAAAAGCACAGUAAAAGCCACUUUAUUGAUGGGCAAACCCUUGUGCAUCAUCUUAUACAAAUGUUCCCUAGCUUCCUCCAGCCUCCCCUUCCUGGAUAAACCCAUUAGCAAAGAACUACAUGUGGACGAUGACGGAGUCAGGCUGAAUUUCAUCAUAAGUUUAAAGACUUUGUAGGCAUCCUCUUCCAAGCCAGCUCUGCUGUAUGCAGCAAUAACAGAGUUAUAAGCAACAACACUUGGUCUCAUCCCUUUCUCCAGCAUAUUUUCUAAAAUUUCCAUGGCUUCAUCCAAACGGCCUGCCCAACAUAACCCUGCAACUGAAAUGUCACACAAUGAAUGAUCUGGAAGCAAAUCCAUUACCAAUAACUCUCUCAGCAACCUAUCUCCAUCCUCUUUCCGUCCAAACUUGAAAUGCCCUGCAACCAAAAUAUUAAAAGUUACAGCAUCGGGAAUUAUACCCUUGGAUCUCAUUUCUUCAUAAAGCAUGUUUGCCUGACCAACAUCUCUUGCCUUAACAUGCCCAUUUAUUAAGGUAUUAUAUAUUGCGACAUUAGGAGAAAGACCAAUCUCUUGAAUCUCAUUAAGAACCUUUCUUGCCUCCACCACAUUACCCUCAGAACACAAGGCAUUAACAAUUAUAUUAAAUGUUAAAAUGCUUGGGGUACAACCCCUCUCUAUCAUCAGUUGGACCCAACCAAGUGCGCUUGAAGUCCAUCCACGGAUGCAAUUGGCAUUUAUUAGAAUAUUAUAUCCACAAACAUCCGGAUUACAUUUAUACUUCCCCAUCACAUUAAGCAAACUCUCCGCAGUCCUUAGAUGACCCUUUCUGCAAAAACCAAGAAUCAUGGCAUUGAAAGUAUAAUUGGAAGGACAAGGUCCUUCACGAAUCAUAUCCCUAAACAUCUUCCACACACUACCAUAAUCACCAACUCUCAGCAAAAACUCAAAAAGGGUUGUCAUUGCAGAAGAACUUGGCACCGCACCCACAUCCCUCAUCCUACACAAAAUGCCUAACGCCCGUGUACCCAUGCCUGCAGUCAAAAAAGCCCGCAUCAACGUAUCAAGAACCGAGAAAUCCGACUCAUAAUCAUAAUGACCUUCCCACAUAAACUCCACCAAAUCCUCACUCCUAGUUUCCCCAAUUCUCCUAAUUACCCAGGAAACAACAUCUUGAGCAAGAUACCGUAGGUUUUGAGAAGCUAAAAUAUGAGCAGCGGUGCAAGAAGAUCUAAUAGCGUCCUCAGAAUCAUCCCUAAAUGCAAACCUAAAGAAUGCAAAUGCAGUCUCUCUGGUUCCUAUAAUAUUCAUGAUUCUGACUAAGAAGCUCGGGCAAAACUUGUCAGAAAAACCGCUCAAUAGAUAUCCAUGUCGCAACUUGAUCAUCUUCGAGAGGCCAACAGUGAUUCUACGGCGUUCAUUCAAAUUAAUGAAGUUUAAAGAACUGGUGACAGCUGCUUUAUUAGAGUUGCAAAAAGGGGAAAACUGAUUCAAGUAAUCGAAGUCUGUUGAAGUUGAUGAAGAAGAAGAAGAAGAAGAAAAUGGCCGAGUCUGGAUACUUGGGGAUUUGUGGAAAUUAAUAAGAUUGAAUAAAAAUAGGGUUCGUAAGGAGUGAGUAAAAUAAACUCGUUGUUUUGGUAAACAAGUGAGAUAGAUAGGGGAGUAAUGCACCUGGAAAGUAAUGCCCAUGUAGCGUACUUUAGCAGGCAUGCAGAGCUGCGCUAAUUUAUAAUGACGAGUUUUCCGGCAAUCGGGCGGCGGAAUCUGUGAUCGGGUGGUUCAGAAAAGGCGGCAACAAUGGGUAAAGAUCCGUUGCCGAAUUCAACUAAGUGGUGUUUCAUUCCCAUCCUUUUUCAAUUAUGUUAGAUGGUAUAAGUGGGCCCUUUUUAGAUCUUGUGCUUGUGGGCUUUAUUCAAUUUAUGAAACUAUAAAUGUUUGUUCUUUCUUUUCUGGACUUGUUUGGUUCUGGGCUUUUCGUGGGGGUCUAUCAUACCUGCCCUUAACAUCUCUUAAAACGAUUUAGGGCCAGUUCUUCAUUGCUUAAAAAAGUAUUUCUGACUCUAAGAGCACUUUUGAAAGAAAAACUGUGAAGAACAAACUGCUUUUGGCUGAAAUUUUUAGCUUUUUAGAAGUGCUUUUAAGGAGUUGAAAAGUAGAAGCUAAAAAUUUUAGUUUUUCCUCUCCCAAAAGCACUUUUGGUGUUUAAUUACUUUUUCACCCCUCCAAUAACAUAGUAUUUUUCUUUUUUUUCUUGGUGUUUAAUUAUAAUUGUGUUAAAAUCAUUAAUUAAAAAUAAAAAAUAUUUUUUAAAAUACUAAUUACAAAUAUUUAAUGGUUAUAUUUAAAUAUUUAAAAUAUAGUUUAUAUAUUCUAAUUAAAUUUUAUAAAUAAUUAAUAUUUAUUGCUUAAAAAUAUUUACAAUUUAUAUUUUAUAUAUUAAAAUAUUAACAACAAGUAAUAAUUUUUUAUAUUAUUACUAAAAUAUAAUAAUAUUAACUAAUUUAAAUAUUAUUUAAAUGCAUAUUUGUUACUUGAUAAUAACAUGUCUAAAAUGGACAUUUUAUUUCUCAAAAGCAUUUUUUGAUAGCAAUGCUAAACACUCAAAUUUUAAACUAAACUUUUCAAAAACACUUCUCAAAAGCACUUUUUCAUAGUACUUUUCAAAAGCACUUUUCAAAAGCAAUGAAGAACUGGCCCUUAAUCCCUAUAAAUUUUGAAAGUGAUUAAUUAAAGAUAAUUCGUCACAAUCUUGAUGUAUUUUUGUUAAUUGUACAAAAUUUCAUGGGUAGAGUAACAAAUUUAGCCCCUAAAGUUAACACAUUUUGUUAAUUUGGUCUUGAUUUAACAAAUUUAGCUUACAACAUUUGCACAUCCCAUCAAUUUUUCCUGAGUUGACAAAUUUGCUUGCAAUAUUUACAUAUCAUGACAACAUUCACAUAGAAUAUAUAAACAUUGAGCGCUUAAUUUCUAAUUAUAACAAUCAAAAUAAUUUACUAUUGAAUGAAAGCAUAAACAUCCUGAUUAAUUGUCUUUAGUUGCUCACUUUCAAAAUUGACAGGGAUUAAAUUGCUCUAAUUUUUGUAGUGGGACCAAUUUGCUCAAUAUCGAAAUUGGUAAUGGCAUGAGAGGUUUUUUUAAUCUUAUUAAUUCAAAUUUGAUUAAAAAUGUAAAGUUGUAAAUUAAACUUGAUGUUUAGUUCAGGUGAUAGAAACUUCAUCUCGAGCUCACAUGUUGGUAAUGUCUUACCUUAACCACUCUUGGUUCAAUAAGGAUUAAUCUCAAAAUUUCAUGUGAUUUGGUAUAUAUGUAAAAUAAACUAGAUCGUAGAAUAAAAUUAAUAUAAAUUGUUGAUACCAAGAAUCAAUAUGAAGGAAAAGCUGGAGAAGGUGAAUGACAAUUCAAACAUGGAAGGCGAAGAGUUGUCGUAGAGAGUCAGUGAAAGAGAAUGUGAAAGAAAUAGCGAGGGGGUUGGUCGAAUGGUUGAGAGAUAGAGAGAGAUGAUUGUGUCCAUCCCACUUGUUCGAAUGAAACAACUUAUAUGUGAGAUGUCUAAGAUGCCAAGUGUAACUGUAACGCUCUGAAUAAUUUAAGUCUGUUUUUGUGAAUUUUGACACAAGUGUGUAUCUGUUUUAGUGGUUGAGUGUUUUGGAUGUGUGUAUGAGGUCUUGGGUUUAAGCCCCACAUUUGGAAAUUUUGUUAUUUUUUACCCUAGCCUUAUCCUUGAUGGGCUGGGUUAUAUUUUAUCUUUAGUAAAUUCAUAUUAGAAUGAGCCUAUUGGUUCGAGUGGUAAAGAGUUAGUUUGUUGGAGGUCUUGUGUUCGAUUCUCUAUGAGAGGGUGGUUGAUAUUUUUUGUCUCGGUUGUGAGAUAGUGGUUGGGUGAAAGUGAAAUUCUGAUAGAGUUCAGAGUUAGUGGAUAGUGGGUGGUUAGGAUAGAUAUUAUUAGAUUUAAUUUUUUUUCAAAAUUUUGGUUUCUCUCUAUCCUUCAAAAUUCCGACGUGAGUUUUCUUCCUCCAUUCUUCCUCUUUCUUUCAUUUUCCCCCUUUUUAAUAUGUUCGUAAUUUUGUUCGUUACUCGCGUUGUAUUUCGGUUUUUAGUACUCUUCGCAUGAUUCAGAUAAAAGCGACUACUUUUGUUUGGAGUAGCAGUUUUGGUAAGCUAUGUUGAUGUUUUCUCUCUGUAGUAGCGUAUUCGAUGUUUUAGGGAAUCUAAUUUCUGUAAUUUUGUGGUGUAGAAGAAGGUUGUGAGCAGUGAAGUCUUAAUCCGACAGCCUAAAUCGAGCUAGUGUUUGUUCGUGUCAUCGGUAAGUUAUGUGCGUUAUUUUUGGGUUAUGUGUCGAUUCAUAAAUUGAUUGCUAAUUGGUCAAUGGGAUGCUAUUUCUUAGGUUUUGAAGGGCUCGGGAUUGUUGUAGCAUCUAAAACGAAUCAGAUGUGUACCCUAAACACGAAAAAUUGAGCUUCGACGAAAGCUGAAAAAGUAUUUUGUCGACGCCACACAGGCGUAUGCCUAGCCGUGUGGUUGGCCGUGUGCAAGACACGGUCGUGUGUUUGACGAAGGCCUGACCAUGCGCAGGAUACGGCCGUGUGAUGGUGUGAGUGUGGCCAUAUAGGCUAGGCCAAGUUGGGUAUGUGGGCCCACACGGGCAUGCCACAUGGGCGUGUGGGUUUAGGCCAAGCUGUGUGGGCCACAUGGGCAAGGCCAAUCUGGGCGUGUGGGCCCAUAAUUUUGUAAUUUUUCCUAGGGUCGCACGGGUCGUUCCGAUCGAUUGUGAAUGUACUAUAUGGUCGGUAAGGGCUAACCAACCCCAAUUUAUGCGAUAUGAUAUUCUAAUAGUCUGCUCUGAGUAGGACACUGAUAUGUAUGUUUGACUGUUCUGUUAAGUAAAUAUAUGUUAUAUGUAUGUGAGCAUUUUAAGCAUGUUAUUUUUGUAUCUGUAUUCUAUAUCUGUGUUUGGGGUGGGACUUAUAUAUGUGGAGGAAGUGAUCUGUAUGGUGACACAUCGCCUAUAUUAUGGCAGCUUGACUGCAUAUUAUCUGUAAUGUGCCUCAUCGACACUAUAUGGUGUGUAGGGAUGGAUGGGUGUUUUCUAACCCCACAUGCUUUGAUAGGAUGGUUGGAGAUGGUGGGUAGAGGAUGGUGGUAGGACUCACUAUAUUUGUUCUAUUUAUCUAAUUUUGUUAUAUGCAUCUGUUAUGGACCUAAGUCCGAAUUUGUAUCUAUCUGUAUACGAGGUUUCUGUGUAUAUUGCAUGUCUAAUUCUGUUGGGUUACACACUAAGUUUACGAAAACUCACAUAUGUUUUUCUGUUCCGUUCAGGUAAUCCACAGACUUAGGCAGAUCGGUGCAGCGGAGUCUCACAGUGACCAUAAGUUUGUGAACUGAAUUUAAAUAAUGGUUUUUAUUUAAUUAAAGAUUAUUUCUGUGAGUUUUGUAAUUAAUGGACUCUCUGGAUUAUUUGGUUUUUAUUUUGGAUUUUGAAUUAUCGUUUUGACUCUUUAUUUGUGAUGGUUGACUAAAAACAUGGUUUUUUCUAAAAUAAAGGUUUUUCUAAAAAUACUAACCAGAUUUUCAAAACAUAACAAUUUCUAGUAAAUUAUGUUUUGGCAAGUGAAUUAAUUAAAUAACGUUUUCAGUAAUAGUUAUAAACAAAUAUAGGUUAUAAAACUUGGAUGUUUUAUCGAACAACUUUACACAGCUUAAUCGAAAUAACACUGUUUUCAAAAUCCUUCUUUGUAACAUCUCCAAAUUUGGCCAUAACAUCUAGGCCGAGUUUGGGGUGUUACAAUAACAUCCACGUUUUGACUCAGAGCUAGGUACAAUGAUGGAUAGGAUUAGAAAAUAGUGAAGAAUUUUUUAAAUAAACUAAAUAGGGAUUUUUAAUAUUAAAUUAAGAAGUAUUUAAACUCGAUAGGAAAUUAGAAAAUACUUCUUAGAUAGAAAAUUUUAAAUAGAAGCAUUGACUAAAUUGAAAAAGUAUAAAAAUUGUUGUGGUGGAAGUAGGAAUUUAGAAAGCUAUGAGAAUUUAUGUAGUAGUGGAAAAUCAAGGAAGGUCUAAUAAGAAAUUUUGCCAAACUAAAAUAUGAUUCAUACAUGGAAUUGUGAAGAUGAUUAAUGGUAAAAUAGUAAUAGUUAAAUAAGAUAUUUUUAAAGUACAAUCAUUAGGGGUCAAAGUGUAAAGAUGAUAGGCCAAAGGACUAGCUAGCAAUUUGAUCAUUUUAAAAUAAAAGUCAUGGAUUUUUCUUAAGAGUUGUGUAGAAAAUUUGAGAAAGGAUGAAAGCCACCAUCCUUACUUGAGAAGCCAACCGUCACUUUCUUUUCUCCAUCAACCAAACUUUUGUUUUUCUUCCAUUUAUGUUUUCUCCACCAUUUUUAGCCAUUCCAAGUUCAUUUUCUUCCACUUAUUCGAUGUUCUCUUGCUACUAACCUUAGAGGAAACUACUGGAGAUCUUAACUUCUUAAAGAGAGCUUCCAGAGCUAUAUAGAGGAAAGAGAAACUUAGGGAUUUAGUGGUGAUAUCAAGUGGUAAGGUAAGACAUGAUGAAAACUUUCAUUACAUAUAUGUUUAUUUCAAUAGAUAGCCUAAAAAGAGUUAUUUGAUUAUAGUUUUCAACAUGGAGAUGUUGUAUUUUUGGAUAUGGGAUUAAAAAAAAAGAAGAUUAAAGAUCAAGUUGAAGGAAAAGGGAAAGAUUUGGCUAAAGAUUAGGAAGGAAGAAGAAUUUAUCAUCCAUUUUGGUUGUAAGUACUUCAAAAAUUCUGUAACACCUCAAACAUGAAUCUGUCGUCGGAUUAGGAUUACAGAACAUUACUUUACAAACGGAACAUUAAAACAUACAUUUCAUACAUCAUAGAAAACAUAUUAUAAAACAUUCAUUCACAUACAUAUCGUCCUUAAAUCGAUCCUUCGAGGCCUUAGAACACCUUAGAAACAAUUCGGGACCAAAUUGGAAACAUUUGGAAAGUUUAAGAAAAAGUUAGAAAAAUUUGACUACAAGAGUCACACGGCCGUGUGGCCAGGCCGUGUAACAAUCAAAUUAGGGACACCUAGCCGUGUCCCAGCCCGUGUGCCAGGCUGUGUCACACGCCCGUGUGCCAGGCUAUGUCACACGCCCGUGUCAGGCCGUGUAACUCUCGAAAUAGCACCACACGCCCGUGUGCUAGGCCGUGUGCUAGGUUGUGUAACUGCCUGACUUGCAUGCAAAGAAACCUAUAGGUUGAGUCACACGCCCGUGUCUCAGGCCGUGUGAACAUGAAAUUUGCCCAACAUUAAGUCAUUUCUACACCAAUUCAUGCAUGACCAUUUGAACAAUUUGUGUACACUAAUAAGGCAUCAAAACAUACCUAAAGAUACAUAUAUUUUCCAUUCCACAAGCAAUUCACACCUAACCAACCUAGUCAUUUAAACAUGCUUCAAUGAACAUAACAAUCAUUCACCAGUAUACAAACAUGCCAUUUUAAUAUAAUAAAAUAAACCAACCAAUGUUUCAUUCAUAGACACCACAAUUAUGUCUAAACAUCAACAACUAAAACAUGUCAACAUUGAUCCAUUCCUUGCAUAGCAACUUAAUUCAAUCAUAUACCAAAACAUACUACAAGUGUUCACUUUCAUACCAUUCUAAUUAUACCAAAAAGAUACCUAUUUACAAGGUUGAUAAAAUACCUAAUAACAUAGUUUAGUAUAGUAUGAAAUUGUACCAAAACAAACUAUUUAGCCACAUCUACAUGCCACUAUCCUAAGAGAUAUAAGAACUACCAACAUUGAUGGAUAGUGUGAGCCAAAAGUUUGAUCCGUCCAAAUGUCAACAACAACCAUCUAAAAACAAUCCAUAAGAACGAAUAAGUUUAUAGAGCUUAGCAAGGACAUAGUAUAUCAUUUAAUCUAACAAUAAUUGAAUACGAUUCAUAUAUUAUUCGAUUCAAGGUUACCGAAGUGUACACAGGGGCAUAAAAGUGCAUUCAGGGGCACAUAUGUGCAAUUCAUACAAUAAUUAACUAUAAGCAUUUAAUCAAUAACUAUAAUGUGAAAAUACAAGUAGAGAUUCAAUUACAUAUUGAAAUACUAUGGACUUACCUUGAUGACUAGAGCGUAGAAAUAUGAUCAAGCUAAUCCGUGAUUUUUGCCUUUCCUCUAUUUAGAUCCGGUUGAGAUUUAUCUCGAUCUAAAUAAAUAAUUAUAUUCAAUUAAGUGUUUCAAUCAAUCUCAAACAUUCAAUUCAAUCCAUAUUUCAUAUUUAUGCAUAAUGACCAUUUUACCCUUAACAUUUUAACUUUUCACAAUUUAGUCUUUAAGUUUAUAACUUAAAAUAUAACCAUUUCAAUCAAAUUCCAUGCUAAUCAAACAUUCAAGGUACCUUUAAAAUACUCAUAUUUAUCACUUUUUCAUAAUAAAACCCUAUAAUUUAUACCUUUAACAAUUUAAUCUUUAAUUCUAAAAUUCAACAAAAAAUCACUUAACAAAACUUGUUUAUUUUUCAACAAGGACUUAUAAUCUAUCAUUAAACAUCAAUAAUCAUACAAAAUCAUUCAUGGAAUAACCUUCAAUCUUUGACAAUUUUACAAAUUGAUCCCCAGGCUAGCUAGAUUAAGCUACAACGAUCCCAAAAAUAUAAAAAUCAUUAAAAACGAGACUCAAAAUCAUACUAUGCAACUGAAUUAACCCUAGCCGAAUUCAAAUCUUCCUCUCCCAUGGAAAUUUCAGUUGAAACAAGAAAUAAAUAAGGAAGAUGACAUCUUUUCUUAGUCUAAUUUUAACUUUAAUUACCAAAUUACCUUUUUACCCUUUAAAAACAUUCAAAAUUUAAAUAAAACCUUGCCAUGAAUAUCCAAUAACUAUAGGAAUGGUCUAAUUAUCAACUAAGUCUAUUCUGUUUAAAUUUUUAUAUUAAUUUAGCCCUUUUAACUAGUGGAACUCUACUUUUACACCUUUUACAAUUUAGUCCUUUUUACUUAAUUAAUCAUGCAAACAUCAAAAUUUCUUAACAAAAUUUUAAUACAACUUUACUAACAUCCCAUAGACAUUCAAAUAAUAAUAAAAUAAUAAUUUACUCGUCAGAUUUGUGGUCCUAAAACCACUGUUCCAAUUUCACUGAAAACAUGUUAUUACAACUCUCCCCCUAAAGGAAUUUUCGUCCUUGAAAAUCUUACUAGAAAAUAGGUUUGGGUAUUGAAAUUUCAUAGCUUCUAGUUCCCAGGUAGCGUCUUCUAUUCCAUGUCGCUGCCAGAGAACUUUAACUAAAGUUAUACUUUUAUUUCCCAAUCCUUUAACUUCCCGAACUAGAAUUAUAAUCGGUUAUUCACCGUACGUCAUAUCAGACUGAAUCUCAACAUCAACUGGGGAUAUUACGUGUGAAGAAUCUAAUCGAUACCAUCAUAAUGGAAGACAUUAUGUAUCUUUUCUAACUCUGACGGCAAAUCCAACCAAUAAGCUACUAGACCAAUCCUCUCAAUAAUCUCGUACAGUUCGAUAAACUGUGGACUAAGCUUUCCUUUUCGACCAUAUUGAAGAACUUUCUUUGUAACACCCCUAACCCGUGUCUGUCGCCGAAUUAGGGUUAAGAGACAUUACUAAUCAAACAUAACUCAAAACAGACAUUCAGUAUAGUUUAAUAAAUUUUAACAGUUACAUAUAAUAAGCUAGGUCAAAUAUUAAAAAUGCAAAAUUUUAAGCUUCUCUUAUGACCAUUUAAAACAAAACAAAAACAUUACAAUCCAACUAAAGCAUAAGAAAAUAAGCCAUUUUCGUAUGAGUAUUAAUUUCAUAUACAAUAUAUCAAAGUACAACUUUCCAAAACAAUUAUCUAGCAUGUACAUGCCAUAGUUAAAAUUUAAACAGUUUAAUACCGAGACAGUAGAUAGAGUGAUGAACUUUCUGACGAUCCCCGAGCUUGAAGCUUGAUUUUUAAUUCUAUAAACCAGAAAGACAUAAACAAAUAAAGUAAGCUUUUAUAGCUUAGUAAGUCUAUAGCAUAACAAAUAUUAUAUAAAUAAUUAUAUAAUUUCCUGGUACACUUAAUGAAUUCACAAAUACUAUAUACAUUAACUUAUUACAUAUAGUCAAAUGCAUACUUAAUAAUCAGCUCUUAAAACCGAAUGUAUAGUCAUUAUAAACAUGAAUAGCUGAAUGCAUAUAUACAUAUAUGCUUAAUAAAUAUUAGCUCCAAAUGUAUAUACACUUUGAACAUGAACCGAAUAUAUAUUUACUAUAAACGUGAAUAGUCGAAUGCAUAUAUACAUAUGCUUAACAAAUAUUACAACCAAUUGUAUAUAUGUAUUUAUCACCUGCAUAUAUCCAAUUACAUAUAUGUACUUAACAUGUACAUAUAACUAAACCUAUACAAAAAUACCUAUUACAUUUCAUAUCUGUGUAUAUAUAUAUAUCAAUCAUAAACUUUUAACCUAACUCAUAUAUAAUGCAUAUAACCGAAUGCAUUCUUAUUCAACAUUUACUUAUAAACAAAUGUUUAUACACACUUAUAUAUAUCCCCAAUUGCGUAUAAGGAUACUCAUCAAUUUAGUAUGCCAAAUGCACACAUAUGUAUAUACUUUUCAACUACAUAUAACAUAUGCAUAUAUAUAUAUUUAUCAACCACCUAUGCCGAAUAUAUGCACAACUUCUUUAAACACUUAAAUCUGAACAUUCACAUAAUUUAAUCAGAUUCACCGGCGCUUAGCCUGCUAGGCUUAAAACCUGAUUCAGUACACCGGCAAUUAGCCUGCUAGACGUAAAGUCUGAAAUAUUUCACCGGCAAUAAGCCUGCUAGACGUAAAGUCUGAAACAUUUCACCAGCAUUAAGCUUGCUAGACGUAAAGUCUGAAACAUUUCACGGGCAUCAAGCCUGCUAGACGUAAAGUCUAUAAAAUCCAUGCAUUAAAAUUUAGCUCAAAAUUCAUAACUUAUAUCUUUGAAACACAUGGAUAUAUAAAUCUCAAUCAUCAAACCUAACUUUAAUAAUUCAAUAAUUCAACCAAACAUAUUUAUAUAUAUAACCUCAUACUUUAGAUUCCACUACUAAUAUCAUAAGAUUUAACUUAUAUUAUACUAUGUACCUUUAACAUUCGGAUUCCACAUAUACCUAUAUAAUUUCAUAUACCAUUUCAAUACAGGAUCUUACACAUGUACAUAUAUACAUAUUCGAAUCUAACAAAUAUAUAUAUUAUUCUAUACUUAUAUUCGAAGCAAGAACUUAUACCUGUAUACUCAUACAUAUUCGAAUUUAACAUAUAUAUAUGUAUAAAUAUAAUUUCAUACUUAUACUCAAUAUAAGUAUUUAUUCAUAAGUAUACAUGCUUAUUCGCUCCAACUUAUACAAUUAUUUUAUACUAAAUUCACACCUUAUUCACAAAUACAUGCAUAUGUUCGAAUAUAUCUCAUACCUAUGUAAUUCCAUACCUAAAUUCAAUACAAAAAAAUUACAUGUAUAUACAUGUAUAUUCAAAUGUAAUUUAUACAUACAUAUAUGUUCAUACCUAAAUUUAUUUUAAGGACACUUAUAUGCAUAUUUGCAUAUUCAUAGUGAUUCGAACCUAACACAUAUAUAUAUACAUAAUUUCAUACUUUCAAUUCGAUUUUUAUACUUUUAAAUUUAACUCAACAAAAAUACAAUUGAUAUACAUACACAUAUACUGAUUUAAUAAAAUUAAAUAGCUAAUAGACUUACCCCGGACAGUGAAAAAUUGAAACCGGACAAUUAGUCGACGACUUUAGCUUUUCCCCGAUCUAACUCUGAUUUCUUUGGUUAUUGAUCUAAACAUAUUCAAAAUGAGCUAGUUUAAAUAUUAUUAUAUUCAAUUUAGUCCAAAAACAAAUAAAUGGGAAAUUACCAUUUUGCCCGUAACAUUUACACUUUUUGCAAUUUAGUCCCUAUUGCAUAAAACACAAAAUACACAAAAUUUGUCCACACUAUACAAGGGCCAAAAUCCCUAGUGCUCAUACAACUCCACAUAUUUCAUUUAUUUCACAUUUUAGUCCAUCAAAAAUUUCUUUUCAUAAUUUAACCCUAAUUACUCAAUUUCACCAAAAAUUCAAAGACAAAACAUAGUAAUCUUUCACCCAUCUUUCAUAUUUCAUCAUCAACUAUAAAAAAGCUCAAACAUUCAUGAAUGGAAUAACUCAAAAUCACCAUCAAAUUCUAAAAUUAAAGCAUGGGUCUUGUAGUACACAAAGCAACGAUCUCAAAAACGUAAAAAUUAUCAAAAACUGAAACCAAACCAUACCUUAAUCUAGCUUUGGAAGUGCCGAACAUUCAAAAAGCCAUGGGUGAGUUCUUCUUUUCCACAUUCGACUUUCAAAGAUGAUAAAAAUAAUCUUUUCUUAACUUAUUUUAACUAAUAUAUAUUAUAAUUACUAAAUGACUAAAUUAACCUUAAAUAAAUAAAUUAUAAAACAUAUAACAUAUGGUUAAACUUGUCAAAUGCCGCCCACUAUAAGCUCUUUUGGUCUUAUUGCUUAUUAAAUCCUCAUACUUUAAAAGACAACAACAUUCAAGUACUUUUAAAAUUUGACCCCUAAAUUUUUAUUUUACGCGAUUAAGACCUUUUUAUCAAAUUGAGCACUCAAACGAUCAAAUUUUUAUACGAAAUUUUCACACAUAGUAAUUCACAUACUGCAAAUCAUAAAAAUAUUUUUAAAAUAUUUUUUUGACUCAGAUUUGUAGUCCUGAAACCACUAUGUCCGGUUAGGGUCAAAAUUUUUUUGUUACAUUCUUCCAAGGGGAUACUUUUAGGAUACUUUGUCACUGACUUAAAAUUCUAUAUAUUUUCUUUUCAAAUCUGCAUAAGAUUUCUAAUGAUCUACAGUUGUGCUCAAAUUAUCACGUAUCACUUUGGUCUUUUCUUCGGUUUCCUGUAUCAAAUCAAAACCAAACAACUUUUUCUUGCUCAGCUCAGUCUAGUAUAAUGGAGUUUGACACUUUCGACCAUACAGAGCUUCGUAUGGUGCCAUUUUAAUGCUCACUUGAUAGCUAUUAUUAUAUGCAAAUUUAACUAACAGUAGAAAUCUCUCUCAAUCACCUUCGAACUAUAAAACAUAAUCGAAGCAUAUCUUUGAGUAUUUGUAUUACUCGCUCAAACUGACCAUCGGUCUGUGGAUGAAAUGUUUUGCUAAAAUGCAGUCGAGUACGUAGGGCUUCAUGUAACUUGCUCUAGAAUCGAGACUUAAAUCAUUGAUCCUUGUUAGAGAUAAUAGAAACUGGCACACUGUAUAGUCUAACAAUCUCAAAAAUAUACAACUCUACCAAUCUCUUGAGUGGAAAAUCCAUAUGCACUGGAAUAAAAUGUGCAGAUUUCUUUAAUCGAUCUACAAUGACCCAUACAACAUCUUUCUUUCUCAAUGAUAGCGGUAAUCCCGAUAAAAAAUCCAUCGUAACACGUUCCCAUUUCCAUUCUGGAAUCAUCACAGGUUGUAACAAACCGGAAGGUACCUGAUGUUUAGCUUUAACCUAUUGACAGAUUAAACAUUUUGAUACGAACUUUGAUAUGUCUCGUUUCAUACCUAGCCACUCGUACAUGUGUUUCAAAUCACCAUACAUUUUAUUACAACUAGCUUUCUGUAAAAUCUUCUGAAUGAGAUCAUAAUGUCUCUCACAAAUUCUAUAUUUGAAGUACAACCUAUCAUCAGAACCAAUAUGAAAAUCUGAAUCAGAUGCCGACUCAACCUGUUUCCGUUUAGGAAUCAAAUUUUCAUCACACUUCUGAGCUUCGCAAAUCUAUUGUAGAAACAUUGGUCUAGCUUUCAAUUCAGCUAAUAUUGAACCAUCAUCAAUCUUUGUCAAUCAUGUGUUCAAUGCUCGUAAAGAAAACAGAGACUUUCUACUCAAAGCAUCAGCAACGACAUUAGCCUUCCACGGAUGAUAAUUAAUGAUCAAGUCAUAAUCUUUCAAUAACUCGAACCAUCUACGCUGUCUCAAAUUAAAAUCUUUCUAUAACAUUAAAUAUUUCAGGCUUUUAUACUCCGUGAAGAUGUAACAUUUUUCUUCGUACAAAUGGUGUUGCCAAAUCUUUAAAGCAAACAUAAUAGCUACAAGCUCUAAAUCAUGAAUCAGAUAAUUUUUUUCGUGCGGCUUCAACUGUCGAAAAGCAUACGCUAUCACUUUGCCCUCUUACAUUAAAACACAAGGCAAACCAUUUAAUGACACAUCACUGUAAAUCACAAAUUCUUUACCAGACUCAGGCUGAACCAACACAAGUGCCUCGAUUAACAAUGCUUUCAACUGAUUAAAACUUUGUUGACAUUUCUUUGACCACACAAACUUAACAUCUUUUUACCACAGUCUCAUCAACGGCAUAUCAAUCAUCAAUAAUCCCUUGGUUAAUCAUCGAUAAUAUCCAGCUAAACCUAGAAAACUUCUAACUUUAGACACAUUUCUCGGAGGUUUCCAGCCAACCGUAGUUGAGAUUUUAUUCAGAUACCGUCUGCUGACACUACAUGUCCCAAAAAUCCAACUUCUCGAAGCUCGAACUCACAUUUGCUAAACUUAGCGAACGAAUGUUUUUUGGGUAAAGUUUGCACAACAAUUCUCAAAUGUUGAGUAUGCUCUGCCUCAUCUCGUGAAUAGGUCAAAAUAUCAUCAAUGUAUACAACAAUAACUCUGUCUAAAUAUCUUAAUAUUCGGUUCAUCAAGUCCAUAAACAUAGUAGGUGCAUUAGUCAAACCAAACAGCAUUACAAGAAACUCAUAAUGUUCGUACCUGGUUCUGAACGCAGUUUUCAGCACAUCAGAGUCUUUAACCCGCAGCUGAUAAUAACCAGAACGAAGAUCAAUAUUUGAGAAUACCGUCGCACCUUUCAACUGUUCAAACAAAUCAUUGAUACAUGGCAAUGGAUACUUGUUCUUGAUCGUGACUUUGUUAAGCUAUCGAUAAUCGAUACAUAGUCACAUUGACCCGUCUUUUUUCUUAACAAACAACACAGGAGCACCCCAAGGAGAAAAGCUCAACCAAGUAAAGCCCCUAUCCGUCAACUCUUGCAACUGUGCUUUCAACUCUUUUAAUUCUGUAGGUGCCAUUCUAUACGGAGCUAUCGAUAUCAGAGAUGUUCUUAGCACUAACUCAAAAGCAAACUCAACCUUUUUGAUCGGCAGUAACCCUGAUAAUUCCUCUGGAAAUGCCUCUGUGAACUUACAUACAAUCGGAACUGAUUCUAAUUUUGAUUUUGAAACCCUGGAAUUAACUAUAUAAGCGAGAUACGCUUCACAGUAUUUUUUAACAUAUUUCUGUGUCGUCACAGUUGAGAUUAUACUAGAUGUACCAUCCAAUCUAUCUGAUUCACUUCAGAUCCAUUUACCGUUCUGACAUUUUAAUACGAUAUGCUUUCAUCUACAAUUGACAAUAACAUCAUGUAGAGUCAACCGGUUCAUACCCAAAAUAAAAUCAAACUCAUCAAAGGGUAAUAACAUCAAACUAGCGGGAAAAUCGUAACCCCUAACUUUCAGUGGACAUAAUCUACAUAUCUGAUUAACUAAAACACACUGACCUAAGGGAUUUGUAACUUUAACAGUAUAUUCAGUAAACUCAACAAGUAAUUUCUUUUUUUCUACUAAUGCAGUGCAUAUAUACGAAUGAGUUGAUCUAGGAUCAAUCAAUGCAUAUACAUUAAUAUCAAAGAGAGAAAAAGUACCCACAAUAACAUCUAGAGCAGUAGCUUCCUCUCGAGCCAGGAUUGCAUAUGCCUUAACUAGUGUUCUUGCUUCAGACUGUUCAUCCAUCUCACUAGUCUUCCCUCGACCGGGAAUAUCAUUCUAGUGUUUCUAGAUCGUCUACAUUUUUGGGAAGUUGUUUCAAAUUUUUUUGAUUGAUUACCAAAUUCAUUUUGCUUUUUCAGACUAUAACGAAAGAAAUGAUUAGUGGAUCCACAACGGAAACAAUCUCUUGACUUUGAUCAAAACUCACCAAAAUAUAUUUUAUUGCAUUCCUCACAGACAAUUAUGUUUCUCUCAACAUUUCUCACACUUCCUACACUAGCCGCUGGAGAAUUUACAAACUGAAAAUUACUUUGCUUUAGUUUCUCUCUACUUGUGAACUCUAAAGGGGUAGCUAAUCGACUUCUAUCAUUUCUAAAUUUCUUUGAUGGAGACGUUUGAGUAGCCUUGAAUGACCCCCUUUUGUUAUAGUCUCGAAAUUUUCAAUCUGAUUGUCGUUUGCUUUUACAAAUUUCUUCAACUUUCUGAGCCCGUUUUGAAAGUUUUACAAAUUCUCGUAACUGCUACCACGAGCAUACGAAUAUCAUCAUUCAACCCGUCCUCAAAUCUAAGACACAAUUCCUCUUCAUUUGAUACUAUGUUAUGGGCGUACUUGCUCAACUGCACAGAUUCCCGUUCAUAUUUAUCUACAAUCCGAUUUCUUCAUUUUAACUCGUGAAACUCUUUCUUUUUCCUGUCAAUAAACAACCAACUAACAUAUUUCUUCUCGAUUUCAGUCUAAAAGAAGUCUCAAUUAAUGCGAUCAUUCGAUGUCAUCGUGUUCAAAUUGUCCCACAAGAAAUACACUUCAUUAGCCAGUACUCGACUUUUGAAGGUUCAUCAUCCACCUUACCUCUAAAUUCAUUUGCUACAUAUUUUCGAAUUUUAUCCACUGAUACUCAGGUAACCAUCACAGGCACAGGGUUUGGAGCAUUUAGCGUGCCGAAUGAGGCACAGUAGGGGAUAGAGGUGGCAGAGUUGCAAGAUUUGAUUGCUUGAACUCAUUGAACCACUGGUUCAUCAUUCUGAGGAAUACAUUUUUCAUCUCAUCAAAGAACUAUUUUGGAAUAGAUGCACUAUUAGUUGCUUCAGGAUUUGAAGCUUCAACAUUACUUUUAGUUUCAUUAACUACAGCUCGAUUCGAUUCUGCUGGCAUCUUGAAUCUAUACGAAAAUACAAUAUUAGAACAAAUUAAAAGCAUCACACUAUAACGGGGUACAUGUGGCAUGUAUACACUAAACACUACAUCGCUAUGUUAGUCCUAGAAUCAACUAAACUGUACAUUUGAUACCACUAAAUGUAACACCCUUAACCACAUCCUUCACUAAACCAAGGUUAUAGGAUGUUACCGGAGUUUAUAAAAUAAUUGCACAUAAUUCCACUAUUUACUUUGUUCAUAUCAAAGCAGUUCACGCGAGUCAUAGUCAUUAAAUUAUUUAUAUCUUGAGAUAUGGAACUUUGAAUUAAGCUCUGCUAAAUUUUUCUAAAACUAGACUCAAAUAUCUUCCUACCAUAAAAUUUUUAUAAUUUAUGGUUUACCCAAUAAGUACAAUUUAUUCUUUAAAGUCAUCCUUGUUCUGCUAUCUAAUAGUUUCGACCUUUCUUCACUAAAAAAUAAUUAUCUCUUCGUAUGGGAUCCGGAUGAUGUUCCCAUUUAUUUCUAUUGAAAAUAGACUCAUUAGUAAUUUUAAACAUAUAGACUUUAACCUUAAUUAUUUUUAUACAAUUUUUAAUGAUUUUCCAAAUUCAGAAUAGGGGAUUCCAAAAUCACUCUGACGCCGUCUCAUAAAAAUUCAAAUAUCUCAUAAUAUGAAAUUCUCUUGCUUACACCAUUUCUUCUAUGUAAAACUACACUCAAUAAGAUUUAAUUUCAUAUCUUAUUCAACCUCUAAUUCAACAUUCAUAAUUUUUGGUGAUUUUUCAAAGUCAAGCUACUGCUGCUGUCUAAAACUAUUUUAGUAAAAAAAAUGUUAAUAAGCAAGUUUAUAAAACCUUCAAUUCCUGUCAAUUAAACCUUAUACAUGCAACAUAAACCUUAUGAUGCACAAUAAAAUUUAUUGAAGUAAUCUAGAUAGUGUGCCCUGAUGUGUUGGUCCGAUCCACCGAUUUCACAUCAAUCUACAAAGAACAUUAAACACACAGGAGUAAGCUUACAGAAAGCUUAGUAAGUUCAUAGGCCCAUAAGAAAAUCUUAUCAAGAUUUCACUAACAAUAUUAAUAAACAAGUAUAAUUCAACAUUUCUUGCCAACCACAAUCUCAAACAAUGAAUUUACUCAAUCGAGCUCAAUAUUAGAUAUCAACUUAUUUCCAACAUUUAGCUUCAAUUGAACUUACAAAUACUUGUCAAAUUGAGGAUCGUCUUACGGAUUUGAGUACAUCGUUUGCCCGGUGCCACGAUUUGCUUGAAUCUUUUACAAUGCUAUAACUCAGUAUGGUUUUCUUCACCGAAAUACCAUACCUACUUUUCACAACUCAGUAUGGUUUUCGUUACUAAAAUACCAUACCUACUUCUCACAACUCAGUAUGGUUUUCUUUACUGAAAUACCAUACCUACUUUUCACAACUCAGCAUGGGUUUCUUUACUAAAAUAUCAUACCUAUGUUCCACACUUUUCCAUGGAUCCACCAUGGACUCAUUCGUCAAUUCAUCACUGGCUACUGAACGUAUGUACUCAAUCCUACAUAUCCCUUAAUUUGAACUUACAAUCUCAUUUUUUUCUCAUUUUUACAAUAAUCAUAGUUCAACAAGAAUAUAUGAAUUAAUACAUUAUAUCAUUCCCACAUUAACAAUUAAUCAUAAAAGUUCAACCGUAUGAACUUAUCUGGGCCAAUUUGUAGGAGUUGCAAUAUUUCAGGGACUAGUUUGAUAUUUUCUCUUCUCCACGUUUAUCUUCGGAUUCUCGAUUUAUAAUAUAAUUUUUUUCCAUUCAUUAGCAUCUAUUUUAAUACUAAUUCACUUCACAAUUUAUUCCCUUUAAUUUUGAAAAUUACACUUUUAUCCUAAAAUUUACAAUUGUUACAAUUUAGUCACUACUCAAUUAACACUUCAAUUGAAAAUUUUUUUCCUCAAAUAACACUUUAUCAAAUCAUUUUAGGCUAUUAUACAGCCUUUGAUAUUCAUAAUUUCAGUACAAAACCCCAAUUCCUAGCUUUUUGACAAUUAGGUCCUAAAAAUCAUUUUCUACUAAAAUCACUUAAUAAAAUCAUAAUAUAAUGAACUUAAAGCUUCAAAUAUAUGAUAAUUCAUCAUAAAAUUCCAGUACUUAUUCAUGGUAACUUACAAAAUCACCCAUGGAAUCAAAAACAAAUGAAUUCAAUAGUUGGACCUAGUUGUAAAAGUCACAAAACAUAAAAAUUUUCACAGAAAAAGCAAGAAUCGAACUCACAUGGUGUAAAAAUAUGAGAAACCAGCUUGUUUUAGACCUCGUAUGGCAUUUUUGCUAAUGAAUUAUGAAGAAAUCUCUAGUUUUUUCAAUUUUUCAAUUUUCUCCUUACUUUCUUGCUGAUUUUCUUGCCCAAACCGUCCAUCCCAUUUAAUUUAGUCCUAAUUGCCUUUUAAAUCCCUCAUUGUUAGUCACUUAAGCUAUUUAAUCACAAUUUAACAAAUUUUGCGCUAUUUUCAGUUUAGUCCUUUUUAAUUAAUUGACUAUCCAAACGUUAAAAUUUUCUAACGAAAAUUUUAUACUAACUCAAUGACACUCCAUAAAUAUUUAUGGCUCAGCUUAUGAAUUCGAGGUCUCGAUACCUUGUUUUAGACCCAAUUUACCUAUUAAAUUCUUUUUAAAUCACAAAAUUCACUAAUUCAAAAAUUCUUCUAAAUUCACACUUGACUCAUAUAUAUUUAUUUAUUAAAUUUUCAAGCUUACUUGUUGGAUUUAGUAAUCCCAAAUCACUGUUUCCGACACCACUGAAAAUUGGGUUGUUACACUAAAUGUAACACCCCUAACCCGUAUCCAUCGCCAAAUUAGGAUUAUAGAGCAUUACCGUACAAACGGAACAUUAAAACAUACAUUUCAUACAUCAUCGAAAACAAAUUAUAAAACAUUCAUUCACAUGCAUAUGAUCCUUAAAUUGAGCCCUCAAGGCCUUAGAAACACCUUAGAAACAAUUCAAGACCAAACUAGAAACACUUGGAAAGUUUAAGAAAAAGUUAGAAAAAUUUGACUAUAAGGGUCACACGGUAGAGACACAGGCCCGUGCCUUAGGCCGUGUAACAAUCGAAUUAGGGGCACACAACCGUGUGCUAGGCCGUGUAACUACCUGACUUGCAUGCAAAGGAACCUACAUGGGACAUACGGCUGUGUCGUCAGGCCGUGUGUCACACACGACUGAGUCAUACGCCCUGUCUCAGGUCGCGUGGACAUGAAAUUUGCCCAAAAUCAAGCCAUUUCUACACCAAUUUAUGAAAAUUUUGUGCACACUAUUAAGGCAUCAAAACAUACCUAAAGAUACAUAUAUUUGUCAUUCCACAAGCAAAUCACACCUAGCCAACCUAGUCAUUUAAACAUGCUUCAAUGAACAUAACCAUCAUCCACCACUAUACAAGCAUACCAUUUUAAUGUCCUAAAAUAAACCAACCAAUGUCUCAUUCAUAGAUAGCACAAUUAUGUCCAAACAUCAUCAACUAAAACAUGUCAACAUUGAUCCAUUCCUUGCAUAGCAACUUAAUCUAAUCAUAAACCAAAACAUACCACAAGUGUUCACUUUCAUACCAUUCUAAUUAUACCAAAAAGAUACAUAUUUACAAGCUUAAUAAAACACCUAAUAACGUAGUUUAGUAUAGUAUCAAAUUGUACCAAAACAACAUAUUUAGCCACAUAUACAUGCCACUACCUUAAGAGACACAAGAACUACCAACACUGAUUGAUAGUGUGAGCCGAAAGUUCGAUCCAUCCAAAUUUCAACAACACAAUCUACAAAACAAUCCACAUGAACGAAUAAGCUUAUAAAGUUUAAUAAGGACACAAUAUAUCAUUUAAUCUAACAAUAAUUGAAUACAAUUCAUUUAUUAUUCGAUUCAAGGUUACUGGGGUGCAAAAGUGCAUCCAGGGCACCAAAGUACAAAAAGGGGCACGUAUGUGCAAUUUAGAAGUACGAAGUACAAACAGGGGCAUGUAUGUGCAAUUCAGGGGUAUUGAAGUACAAACAGGGGCAUUUACGUACAAUUCAGAUGUACCGAAGUACAAACAGAGGCACGUAUGUAAAAUUCAUACAAUAAAUUAACUAUAAGCAUUUAAUCAGUAACUAUAAUAUGAAAAUACAAGUAGAGAUUCGAUUACAUAUUGAAAUAUUAUGGACUUACCUUGACGACUAGAGCAUAGAAAUAUGAUUGAGCUAAUAUUUGAUUUUCGUCUUUUCUCGAUUUAGAUCCGGUUGAGAUUUAUCUUGAUCUAAAUAAAUAAUUAUAUUCAGUUAAGUGUUCCAAUAAAUCCCAAACAUUCAAUUCAAUCCAUAUUUCACAUUUAUGCAUAAUUACCAUUUUGCCAUUAACAUUUUAACUUUUCACAAUUUAGUCGUUAAGCUUAUAACUUAAAAUCUAACUAUUUCAAUCAAAUUCCAUGCUCAUCAAACAUUCAAGGGACCUUAAAAAUACUCAUAUUUAUCACUUUUUCAUAAUAAAACCCUAUAAUUUAUACCUUUAACAAUUUAAUCCCUAAUUCUAAAAUUCAACACAAAUCACUUAACAAAACUUGUUUAUUUUUCAACAAGGACUCAUGAUCUAUCAUUAAACAUCAAUAAUCAUACAAAACCAUUAAUGUAAUAACCCUCAAUAUUUAACAAUUUUACAAAUUAAUCCCCGGGCUAACUAGAUUACGCUACAACGAUCUCGAAAACAUGAAAAUUAUUAAAAACGAGACUCAAAAUCAUACCAUGCAAGUGAAUUAACCCUAGCCGAAUUCAAAGCUUCCUCUCCCAUGUCAAUUCUGUUUGAAACAAGAAAGAAAUAAGGAAUAUGACAUCUUUUCUUAGAUUAAUUUUAACUUUAAUUACCAAUUAACUUUUUACCUUUUAAAAACAUUCAAGAUUUCAAUAAAACCUUGCCAUGAAUAUCCACUAACUAUAGAAAUGGUCUAAUUACCAUAUAAUUCCAUUCACUUUAGAUUUUUAUAGUUAUUUAGCUCGUUUAACUAAUGGAACUCUACUUUUACACAUUUUAUAAUUUAGCCUUUUUUACUUAAUUAAUCACACAAACAUCAAAAUUUAUUAACGAAAUUUUAAUACGACUUUACUAACAUCCCAUAGACAUUAAAAUAAUAAUAAAAUAAUAAUUUACUUGUCAAAUUUGUGGUCCCAAAACCUCUGUUAUGAUUUUAUUGAAAACGGGUUGUUACAAAUUUAUCCAUUUUUAGUUAGGGUUUAAGUAUAAAUUAUGUUAAUUGAUAGUUGAAAUAUUAAAAUAUUAAAAUUAUGUGUAUUAAAAAUUAAUAUAGAGUUUAUGAGAAGAUUUCAAGUAUUAAAUUGUACAAUAAAAUUUGACAUUUUCAUAAUGAUGGUAGAAUGACAAAAUUGAAGAGAAGGCAAAUUAUGUCUUGAUAUUUCUAUAUAUGUGGGAAGGUAAUAUUUAAAGAGGUUGUACAAAGUGAUUAAGUUACUAGAACUAAAUGUUUAAUCAAAUUACAAGAUUGUAUAAUGUUUGCAAUAAGAAGGACUGAAUUGUGAAUAUGGAAAACUAUGUACCAUUUAUCGACUAAAUGUUUUUUUCAAAUAGUAAAAAUUUCAACCCAUGUAGACGAGAUAAGAACUAUUAGGAUAUAAAUUGCAUGCCAUUAAGGAUAUUUAGCGCGCCCACUGUUCUAAAAUUCACUUCAGUGCCCGUUGUUCAGUUUAACACUACAGUGCCCACUGAUAUGAUUAUGCUCUUUAAUGCAUCUUAUAUUCAUUUCAUAUGUCCUAAUUUGUUCUGCUAAGUAUACAUCGGGCAAUGAUAAGAAAUGUGGUUUAUACAGGAAAUUUUGUGUAAUAAUGUACGUAUUGAAAAUAAAAGGGUUGAUUGUGUUGAUUAUAAGUAUAAAUUAUUGUAUAGAAGUAUAUUUCAAGUUAUUAAUGAAAUUUGGAAAUUUUAAUUCUUUAUAGAAUUCUUUUUGUACUUAUCAAGUCUUCGUAGAUUUAACGCAUUUAUUUUUCAACGCGUAGGUACAAUAGAUUCCGUCAGGCUUAUAUCGAGGUUGAAGGUAUCCCAUCUCAUCACCACUUCAAGUGUCACUUGAGUAUGUAUAAUUUUUGGAGUUAGUAUGACAUGUACAUAGGUUCUUGGUAUGGGUGAAUGUUAGAAGGGCUAAAAUGCAAACUUUGAAAACCUUGUUACUUUGGUGUUCUAAUGUAACAUCCCGAUUUUUAGUGGUGACAGAAUAGUGAUUUUAGACCAUAAAUUUUCGUCGUAUAGACUCGUAAAUAUUAUUUUUAGAAUAUUUAUAGAGUAAUUAGGGUCGUAUUAAAAUUUGAAUAAGAAAUUUUAAUGUUUGGAUGGUUAAUUAAGGAAAUUAUAUUAAAAUGAUAAAAAUAUUAAGUUAGUGUUGGACGACAAUGAUAUUAAAAUGAUAAAAAUAUUAAGUUUUUAAUGGCAAAAUGGUAAUUAUAAUGAAAUUAAAUAACAAAUAGUAAAACAAUACCUUUCUUCUUCAUUUCCACUUCUUUCAUAACCAAAAUUGUCUUGAAAUGGUGGCUUGAGAAUCGGCUAAGCAUAGAAACCUUGCAUGUAAGUGCAAUUCUUGCCUUUUUUUUGUAAUUUUUAUAUUUUUGAGAUCGUUGCAACUAAGUCCAACUAGUCCGUACCUUCAUUUUUGAAUCUGUUAAAAAUUUUGGAAGUUUCUAUUGAUGAAUAUUGAAUUUUUUUUAUGAAUACCAUGUAUUUGAAGCUUUGAUUGUGUUGUUUAAUGAUUUUGUAAAGUGAUUUUUGUUAGAUUUUGAUUUUAAGAUUAAAUUGUGAAAAUGUCUAAAUUUUAGGGUUAAUUUGAUGAAUUUCGGGUUAAGGGGCUAAAUUGCAAAAAUAUAAAAGUUUGGGGUAAUUGUGUAAUUUUUAAAAAAAUAUUAGGGUAGUAAUUUUAAAAUAGAUUGGAAUGAGAAAUUUAAGCUGAUAAUUGAGAAAGUUUAUAUUUUAGAUCAAGAUAAAGUAGAUACUCGUGAAAAAUAAAAAAUUACAGAAUAGUCCCUAAACUUCUGCAGCUAUUACAAUUUAAUCCAGGUAAGUUCGUAUGGUUUAAAAUUUAACAUCUAUAUGAAUUAUUGAAUGGUACAACAUGGUACAAUAAAUAUAUUCAAUUGUUGAUAUGAUUAUUUAAGAAAUAUUAUUGAAUUUGAUGUUUGGGUUGGAUCUAACGCGGUAUAGAGUACAGUCGAGAUAUGGUGUGUUAUGAGGGAUUGGAGUGGAGAUGGAUAUCGAGUGAUGUAUAUAUAUGUUUCUCAAGUAAACUGAGAUUCAGCAUUUGUUGCGAACUCUAGUGUUAUACUCUCUGUUUGGUGUGUUUCGGAGGGACUAGCUCUUAUGAGCAUUGGUGUGUUUCGGUUGGACUAGCUCUUAUGAGCAUUGUUGUGUUUCAGUUGGAGUAGCUCUUAUGAGCAUUGCUGUGUUUUGGAGGGAAUGGCUCGUGUGAGCAUCUGGUGUGUUUUGGUUGGACUGACGAUGUACUCUUAUUCGUAAGUCGUUCUUCGAAUUGAAAAUCUCGGUAAGGUAAUUUGUUUAAUGAAUUUGAUGGAUUUUCUAUAUAUUUGAGUAUUGAAUUGGAUGUUUUUGAUUUAUCGGUUGAGAUUGCGGAUGACAGGGAACCUUCAUGUUUGAAUUGUUGUAUUUAUUUUAGUGAGAAUUAUUGUUUUAAUACGUCGAACUUACUAAGCUUUAUUGAGCUUACUUGUGUUAUUUAAUGUUCUUGUAGAUACUCAGAAGGUUGGAUUAUCGGAUCGGCACUCAAGUCACACUAUCCUACAUAAUUCAGUAGUUUUGGGAACGUUUAUUUCAAAUUAUAUGGCAUGUAAUAGGAUUGAAUGUUCAUAUUAAUGUUUUGGAUAUGUAAAUAGUUAAGUAUACUCUUGAAUAUAUUAGUUGUUUAUGGUUAAUACUCCUUUUUGGUACUUUUGGUGUCAUAUUAGUAUGAGUUAAUGUAUUUAUGUUAUAAUGCUUGUUUGAAAUGUUGUAAUGGUAUGUGAUGAAUUGGUUUCAAUAUGUCCAAGAAAUAAUAUGUUUUUGAGAUGGUAUUGAACUAGAUGUGUAUGAUUGAAAUGUGGUAAAGUAUAUAUGUUUAGGUAUGCUUGAAUGUUCGCAAUUGAGGUGCCUUGUAUGACAUAUUGGAUGAAUGAUUUUAAAAUAUUGAAUUGAUCAUUUUAUGUAGGUUUUGGUCAUGUUUUGACGCCUUGAUGAUAAGUACAAAAGGUUCUUAGGUGGUUGCAUGAUUUGGUGUUGAGAAUGGCUUGAUUUUGGGCAAAUUUAUGUCCACAGGGCCUAAGACACGGGCUUGUGACUCAGCCGACUCAGUCGUGUGUGACACACGGCCUGGCGACACGGCUGUGUGUCCCUUGUAGGUUCCAUUGCAUGCAAGUUAAGUUGUUACACGGCCUAGCGCACGAGCGUGUGAGGCUAUUUCGAAAGUUACACAGCCUGGCACACGGGCGUGUGGCUUGGUCGUGUGACCCAACUUAGAGAGUUACACUAGUAAGGACACAGGCUGGGACACAGCAGUGUGUCCCUAUUUCGAUUGUUACAUGACUUGGCCAUACGACCAUGUAACCCCUGCAAUCUAAAUUUUUUGACUUUUUCUUGAUCUUUUCAAAUGUUUUCAAUUUAGUCUUGGAUUGUUUCUAAAGUAUUUUUAGGGUCUCGUGGGCUUGAUUAAGGGACAUUAUGAAUGUAAUUGAAUGUAAUUAGACUAUGUUUGCUUUGAUGUAUGAAUUGAAUGAUUUAAUGUUUCGUUUGUCCAGUAAUGCUCCGUAACUUAUUCCAGCUAUAGAUACGAGUUAGAGGUGUUACAUAUAAUGAUAUAUUUUGUUAGUAUUUGAAAUGAAUUUAUAAGAGUUUAACAUAUGUAUGCAUAUAAGACAUUAUUAUAUGGCUUUUGUGUUGAAUUUUAAUGAGUUUGAGAUUAAUUAGACUGGUUUUGAAGUGUUGGACUAUUUUGAAAUAUUGCAAAGGUUUUUAACAAAUUUCCUAAUUGAAUUUUAACAAAUUUGACCUAAGGCAUCGAUACCAGGGGUUUAGAUAUCAAUACAUGGUAUUUAAAAUUGAAUAUUUCGAAAACAAAAUGUCAUUUUGGUAUCGAUAUCACAUUUGGUAUCAAUUUUAAAGGCAAGGUAUCCAUACCUAGGUCUAAGGUAUUGAUACCUUCAUCAAAAUUUGAAAAUUUGGAGUUCUAGAGGCCAAUUUUGGUAUCGAUACACAUCAGGGGUAUAGAUAUCUUAACAUAGGUAUCAAUACCUUAUGUUUUAGUAUCAAUACUUGACCCCUCUAUUGAUUAAAAAUCAUUUUUAAUUCAUUUUUAAAUGUACUCGAUUAACCAAUAAUGUUCCUAAAAUUCUAAAAAAAAUAUUAUCGGAUUGAUUUAAUGAAAAUUUCAUUGUUUAGUGCUCAUAAUACCUAGUGACUAGCCAAGAUCGCUUUGGCACCAAAUGUAAUACUCCUAUAUCGAGUUUCGAGGGUCAGAUCAGGUACAAGGGUGUUACAUUUAUUUAUAUCAGAGCUUAGGUUUUCUGAUGUUUGAGUCGAGAAUGAAUCUAAACGUACAUGCCAUGUAGGAUAUACCGUAGUGAUGAGAUGGGAUUUAGUUAUUUAAUUGUAAAAUUCUUAUAUAUUGUAAUUUUAAAGAUGUCAAAUAGGACUCGAGAAAGUUCUGAAGAUGAAGUAGAGAGUAGGGCUUUUAAUAUGGUUAGAGAAAGAAAUCAACGUAGAGCCCGAGUACGAAAUGGAUCAAAUGAACCUGUGAAUUUAAAAGAUGAUAGAUAAUAGGAAUUUGAAGAAAGAACACAACCAAAAAUUGAACAAGAUAAUAGAUAAAGAAAUUAAAGUAGGCCAUCACCGACGUGACUCCCUCGACACCCUAAACCGUCACUAUUUCACUCGAAUGGGCAUGGCUAGCUCAGUUGUUGUUGGUUUGGUCCAUGCCAGUGACGACCCGAUUGGUUAGGUCCAACCAUCAGUUGGACCGUCAGCGCAGUUUUAGACACAGGGCUCGGUUUAACCAAUUUUUGGGUUUCAAUCUCGAGUUUUGGUUAUUGGGUUCGAUUUUCGAUCUCAAGUCUAAAUUUUAAGUUGAAUUACCCAUUGGGCAAAUUAUCUGACUUGAAAAUUAACUUCCAAAAAUAUCGUAUUUAUUUUAAUUAAUUUGAUUAAUUUAAUUUUACUUGAUCAAAAUUAAUUUUCUCAAAAAUCAUUGAGAUUUUCCUAAUUAAAUUUUCAAUAAAAUUCUUUAAUCAAAUUCUCUAGUUGAAUAAUCUCACAACUGCCUAAUUUAUUUCCACAUAAAAUAAAUCGACUCAAUAAAUUAUUUCCAAAUUCGUAGAGUUUUCUUCUAAUUCAAAUGCAGUUCGAUCGAGCUUUUGUUGAGCUAGCAGAGGGACCAAUCGAACAUAUACAAUUAGGCUCGAGUAAUUGCAAUUAUAUCUAGGAGUAUCGUUUCGAUAAUUUGUAAUUUACUUAAUUAUGAGACCAGUCCACAAGAGUACAAUGAUUGAAAUAUCCCUAUUGUAUACUCAUUACAGAAGCAAUUCAUCGCAAUUUACUUAAUUCGGACAUAUACAAUGACCGCUUGCUCCGUUGAUACCAAGUGUUCCAUCGUCUGUUUUGGACCUUCAAGCAAUGCUCUCAAGCAUUCCAUUACUGCAAGCCAUUGGUACAAAUAGACGGUACAUUUAUGUAUGGUAGAUAUACCCAUCGGUUGUUGUUGGCUGUGUGGCACAUGAUAGUAAUAAAAGAAUCCUUCCAAUUGCGUUUGCAAUAACACCGGGGGAGUCAAUAUACGACUGAGUUUUUUUCUGUCUAGGUUGAGGAAGCAUGUUUACCCCUAACCUAAUUUAUGUGUCAUUUCAGAUCGGGGAACUGUAAUACUAUCUGCAAUUGAACGACAGGGAAGCCUCUUGGACCGCAUACACCAUCAGUAUUGUCUAAGGCAUGUUGCAUCCAACUACUACCGAAAAUAUCCCUCUAUUGUUGAGCGAGUACAAGUUACCAACAUGAGCAUGUAAUCGCCACCAGUAUUCUUUGGUUUGUAAUAUUUCAUUUGUUUUUUUUAUAUUCUUUGGUAUGUAAUCGUCAUUAUCCACUUUUAUUGACAGGGUACGAGAUCGUGAAGGAUUGUUUCCAUGAGAUGUUGCAAAUCUUAUGGUCAACUAACAAGGAGGAAGCACGGUACCUCUCUAACAUACCCUUCGAUCAGUGGACACAAUCUUAUGACGGGGUUCUACGAUAUAGCCACAUGACCUCAAACCUGGCGGAAUGCAUCAAUUCCAUUUUAAAGAAAACACAUCAUUUGCCAAUAACCUCAGUUGUGAAAGAGACUUACUUCCGUUUGGCAGAACUAUUCCUAAAGUGAAUGGCAAGUUAUGUUGGGCAAUUGUAGGGAGGCCACAUAUGGUGCCCGGAUGUGGUGAAACAAAUUAAGAAGGCUAAGACACAAGCAAACUACAUGCACUUAGUGUGGCACUCACGCGAAGACGUAUGGUUUUGGAUAAUGUAGUUCGACAGGCCGAACCAAGGUAUUGCUAGGGGAGUGUACCAUGUACACCUGAGAAAUAGGACUUACGACUAUAGGAGAUUUGACAUACUUCAUUUUCCAUGCGCUCAUACAAUUUUAGCUUGUAGCAAUCAACGCUUAGAUCCUAUGAGUAUUGUGGACGAAGUGUACAAAUGAGAAAACUUGUACAACGUGUGAAGACCCAAAUGAAAGUAUGUGACCACUUGUAUUGAACGCUCCGUUUAAGUUGUUACCUAAUAGAAGAUUGCGUCAUAGACCAAAAGGUCGACUGACAUCGAUUCGAAUAUGCGACAACAUGGAUAUUCAAGAUAGGUCAAACCAACUGAGGUUAUGCGGGUGGUGUAGGAACCCAGGCUAUACAUUGUCGUUAUGUCCACAUCGAAAGGACUAUGCAAACUAGAAAAUAAAUAUCAAUUCCAUUAUUAUAUGUAAACACGUGGUUCUAUGAAAUGAUAACAAAUAUCAGCUUUUCAUUUUGUGAAUUUAUAACAAAUUAUAACUUUAAUUUUGUAAAAUGAUAACAAAUAUCAAUUAACAUUUUGUUAAAUGAUAACAAUAUUCCUCUAAAAAUAUAAUAAUAAAAAUCAUCGAUACAAUAUAAAUGUUUGAUAGAAGGAUAAAAUUACAAUAUAAAUGUUCGAUAGAAGGAUAAAAUUAAUCAAUGCAUAUAUUGAUCAGAAUUUGUGCCACAUCGGGGUGGACGAUGGUUAUGUGCUAGAUUUCUUCUUAGUUCAGCCUUCGGGUAAGGUUAUGGUUGUUGCGGUUGUGGUGGUUGUGGUCUCGGUAGCUCCUCUUAUUCACCUUCAGCUGAUUGCGAUCCUUGUAUUCUCGGUUGUCAUCGUACAUCUUUCGGUCUAGGAAUAGGUGGUUGGAAAGAUGACCCAGCUUGGUAGAACAAAGAUCUCGGAGGUGUUUGCGUCAUAAACGAUGAAUGAGCAUAACUAGGUUGAGUCCCAUACACCGAUGGGAUAACGAAUGGACUCUCCGUCGGUGCUUGAAACAUAGACGACCUAUACAUCGUCAUCGGCAUCAUCAAAAAAGUAGAUGGCACAGAUGUAGAAAAAUAGAAAAAUACGAUGCAACAUAUAGUGCUUGUGUGAAGAUGAUAGGGUUAGAAUAUGCACCAGAAUAAGACGGUACAUACUGAACGGAGGGUGGUGUGGGCAUCGGUGCUGAGGCCGUAGGUGCCAAUUCUUGUGUGGGCGUUGAUGAUGGACCCACCUCGCUAGCCUUUGGAUUUAAAGAGGGUCGUCGUGGCUUACUCGUAUGGGGAUGUCAACGCAUUGCCUCUUCCUCGUACAAAUAUGGUUUCUCAUGAAUCUUAAACCAUGGCAUGUACUCCAGAUUGCAUGCUAACUCCGAAACAAUAAAAGGUUCACGAGUAGGUAAAAAAUCAUACUGACUAUUACACAUGUUGCUAUGUUGGCAGUGGAAUACCAACCAAUUCUCAUCUGGCUGCCGCAAGUUGAUAGGAUGCAGAUUAUCAAGGUCUUGAGGUGCCAUGGAAAUCGACUAUCAGAAUCUGAACUGUCACAACACUUUAUCCGUCCCGUACAUCUUGACGGUAGCAUACAGUACCAAUGGGACCUUCACGUGCUAGGCAUUAGGAUUCACAAAGAAUUCCUCGAGGAUUACUUCUCGAAUUUUCGGAUCCUCGUAUGGUGUCCAUUCAAACUAUAUUAACAUGAUAAAAACAUUAGUUAUAUAUAAACUACUAAAUACAAAAUCAACUACGUUAUUUGUAUAUAGUUCAAAAUUAAAUAAAUACAUACCUCCGCUUCUGAUCGUUGGUCUAAUAGAAGCCACAGUAGUUAAUCCUACAUAACAUGGUGCAUGAUUCCACCUAUUUAAAUAACUUCUUAGCAUAAUAAAUUUAAUUUAAAUCAAUUUAAUCAUGGUAAUAUCUACUGAAUUUUACCUUGUUACGAAUGGGAAUGUAUACGAGUAGUUUGCUCGAGGACGAAAAAUAGAAAUCAAAAUCGAGCCCAUGAUUGUAGCACUAAAAGGCAACCACCAAUUUUGAUUUUUCCUGGUUACGUCGCCCGACACAUCUCCCGAUACAAGGUUGCCAACACAACGGACCCCCAACUGAGUUCACCCACUCCUCUAAAAUUGAUGAGUUUCAGUAGUCACCUUAGAUGGACGAGGUUUCGUGACUUAUCUGGCAUCAGGAUACCCCCGAUGAUUUGAAUGAUGUAUGCCCAAGCAUAUUGUUCUCUUUGGACUUCAGUUGAAUCCUUAUCCAACCCCGUGGAAUUUUUUUUGUAUCCAAGCUAUUUCGAUCCAACCUCUGUAAAUCGUCUCCAGAGCCGCACCCAAAAGAUCACCNNNNNNNNNNNNNNNNNNNNNNNNNNNNNNNNNNNNNNNNNNNNNNNNNNNNNNNNNNNNNNNCCCCAACUGUAAAUGUACGUCCUCUAGAGUGAUAGUACACUCGCUGCAUAGAAGAUGGAAUGUGUGCGUCUCGGGUCUCCACAUUUCCACCAAUGCGCUUAUGAGUUUCGGGUCCAACUUACACCCCCGACCUACAAGGGCCACGUGCCAAAAUCUGGCUUCCCUCAAGUAUGUUUCGAUCAAUAGUGAUAGAAGACCGGGUAGAUUAUGAAUAUGGCAUUGUAAAAUUCAAUCUUCUACCUAUUUACAUUAAAAAAAAUAUUAAGUUAAAAUAUAACAAUGAAAUAAAAAAAAUAUCAAACAAGAUUGAAAUUUAUUAAAAUUUAUUCUCACCGUUUGCAAUUAAUUGACGAAGAUAUGCUUGUUAUCAAGACGGAUUAGAGAUCUAGCCAUUGUUAAUUAUAUAGAACACGAAAUAAUUUUAAUAAAAAAAUAUUUCUUGAAAAUAUUAAUAAAAAAUAGAAUUUAGAUAGAAAUAGAAUUUUAGUAAAAAAAUUUAAGAGAGAAUUUGAGAGAAAUUUGAAAGAAUUUUGAGAGAAUGUUGUGAGAAAUUAGUAGGGGAUAUAUAGUUUUUUUUUACUGUUGGGGAGGGGGCAACGACUAUUUAAAAUAGCCGUUGGAAGUGACCAUUGGGAGGAAAACGCGCUGAGCUGGACACGUUUUUCUGAGUUUUCUCUGAAAAUGUUUCCAACUGGAAGCGUUUUAUCAAAAACGACCCAUUCCUAUAAUUUUUCAAAAAUUCAAUAUAUUUCCUUAAUUUAAAAAAAUGAGUUUUUAUUUUUGGUAAUUUAGCCUAUAAAUGAAAAGACUUGCACUUUGAUUCUAAUUUUAUCAGUUGAUUCGGUUUUCUAUUCUCUAACUUUUUCUUCCUUUUCCUCUUUCCUAUUUUCUCGACUUUCUAGGAUGAACGCAAUCCACUUUCCCUCAAACCCGUUAUUUUGAAGAACUGGUUGUACAGAUGUCUUAUUCACGUCUAAUUUUAAAGCCCCUAUACUUCCUUUCCCUUUGAUCUUUAGUUCCGACAUCAAAAUAAAGUUGUCGUUAAUUUAUGAAGAGACAAUUUCACUAAGAAUGGACUUAAGCAGCUAAAUUAUUGUACGGACUGCUAGAGCGAAAUUGACUGGGCAUUUUAGACUCCGUUUGUUUCAUUCAAGAAAAUCAACUCAGUCAAAAGAUUUUACAAGUCAACGGAAAAACGGUUACUUUUUCUGUAAGACGUUUUACAUUCUUUUCUUCUCCCACGCCUCCUCUGCCAUUCUCUCAUUCUCUUCGAUAACUUUUUCUCCCCUCAUCUUUGAUAUCUUCUUCUUUUUCCUUUUUUUCCCUUUCUUUUACCUAAUUGCUUCCCAAAUGUCUUCAGAUUGCUUGGGACUUAUAUCAAAUUUGGCGAAUAAAUUUGUGUCACGGCCCAAACCCUGGUUUGCUCUUUCCUCUUUUAACUUUCCAAGAUUUUUCAUGUGUAUGUUUGUGGAAUUUAUUAAUAUACAGAAAUAGAGAAGUGAAAACUGAAAAGAAAAGUUGGAUUUAAUCCAUUUAUGGCUUGCUGCUCUGCUUUAAUAUCUGUUGCUUGGCUGCUUAGUACUUAAUUGGAUAAUGAAUAAUCUUCCAUGAUCCCAUGUAUUAUAUAUAUUAGUGAUAAACAUGACAAUGCUUGCUAGUACUGCUAAACAAAGGGGAGAUUGGCAUGAAUGUCAAAUGUUUGGUAAUGAAAAGAGCAAAGAUGUAGGAUAUGUCUACUUCAACUGCUUACUUUGUGGGAUCUGAACAUUUUCUUAGGUUCUUUGUGUGAAUGGUGGAAAAGAAGUUACAGAUAUAGGUAUGUCAAUGGUAGAAAAGAAGUUACAAAUAUAGGUAUUUUCUGAAGCUUAUAUUUCCUACUCGUUAAGAUUAUAUAAAUGUUGAUAUUUUAACUAGCUUCUGCACAAAUGUUGCCUAUACAAAAUUUAUCUGUGUUGUGUUAGAUUGAACAUAAUUUCUUGAGGAGUUGUUCUGCUUUCCUUUUCUUAUGAAACUAUAUUCUUUGACUUUAAGUUGAUAGGGAAAGCUUCUUAUUUGGGCAGGUGACUAUACCGUGGCUGCCAAUGUAUAUCAGAAAAUCUUGGAAAUAUGGCAUGCUUAUGGAUGUUACCAAAAAUUGCAAUAAAACUUUGCAUUAGUUACUAUAGCAGUUUGCCAUCUUCUUCAAGCUUAUCAAUGUGAGCUUCACUUUGUUAUACCUCUUUUUUUAUUUGUACUUUGUAUUAACAAAAAAUAUAAUGCAUGAGGCAAAGGACCUAAGUAUCUAGUGAUUGAAUUUGAAACUUGAGAGUCUAAGAAGAUUGUCUAUCAUAUAUUUUCAACUAAUGGCAUGAGUUUGAUGGUCUUUUUCAUUGUACGACUAUGUAAUUAGGUGCCUAAAUUUUACCAUUUUUUUGCCUAAAAAAUAUAUAAAGUUGUAUAUAUAUAAAGACAGUUCUGGUUAUGAUGCUGAAAACCCCUUACAUUGUUGUCAUGGCUUGAAAAAAAUGCAGGCUUUAAGAAUGGGAAUGCUAUAUGUUUUCAGACUUUUGAUGGUCAGGACCUCUACUGAAGAAGUAAAUCUAUCACGGGAAAGGGGAGCAGGGAAGUUAAGCUCAUUACUAGUAGAGAAACCCUGCUAGAGACUUCUUGAAGAGGCUUUACCCUAUGUUGUAUAUGGAAAAGAGAUGGAAUGCUAAGAAAAAUAUUUACGAACUACGUUGUUCGUAUUCAUUGGAGACUAAUGCUGAUUGUGGAGGAUACUAAAAGUUUCCUCUUCAAAGCUCAAGAACACUAGAGUCAAAAGGAAGAUAAUUGAAAAGGCUAUAGCUGCCGGAAGAGAUGACAAUACUUUUCUAUGGCCUUGAGUCUCAUUGUUUAAUGUUUUCCUUUGCUUUUUUCUGUCUAAUUGUAGGACUAAUGACUUUCUUUGUUUAUAUAAAACAAUUUUAGAUAUCCAUGAACUAAUUAAUUAUUUUAGAUUGAUUAUGAAACAAAACUUCUCAAAUUAAUAUUAUUUACUGAUUUAUAAUUAAUACUUGAAUACCUUUUUCAGUUCAGAAAACAUUUUCAUUGUAAAAUAAUUUCAAGAAAAUAAACCAACUAAUGAAUAAUGUUUUACACAAAAGCAUUCAAACAUUAAAAAGAAUAUCACAUUCCAGAAAAUCAUUCAAUUUUCCUGAAAAGCCUUUCUGUUGAUAGAAAGGCUAUUUAAAAUCAUAAAAAUUAAGAUUGUUAAUGAAUACAUUUAAAUGUUGGAAUAAAUAUAAAUAUGUACUAAGUGUAGUUUAAUUACUGUAUCUUGCCGACUAAAGAGUUAGCCAAUUGGUAGCGACACAGUCUUCUCAUAAUUUUUGUGAAGUGAAUAUUUGCAAGAUAAUAAUAAUGUUCAAACAUAGCAAAGAAGCUUGGAACUUGACAAGAACCCAAGGCUAGGCUAGGCUAGGCUAGGCCAGACAUGAAUUUUCUUCUAACAAAACCAAAGGGAGCAUCACUAUUCACUCCACUCGCUAUGUUCUAAAUUAAAAAAAAGUUUCUAAAAUCCUUGAUCUGUUAGGAUGCGAAGGCCGAAAGUCCUCCAGCCGCAAACAGGAGCUACCUCUAAUUUCAUUCAACACACUUUCUCCUUUCUCCGUUUUAAUCAUCCCCAAGGUGCUUCCCAUUACAUCCCCGCCCAGCCCUAUUUCCACUAUCUGCCCUGCUUCCUCCCCACCCUCCAGUAUUAACCGCCCUAUCUCCUUCAUACUUAUCACAUCUUCCACUACCAUUUUCCCAAAAAUACGUCCCAGAAAUUCUGGAGCUUUUGGCGCAUCGUUCACAGCAUCCUCCAAUGUACUCAGGACAGAUUCAAACCUGAAUAUAACACAACAUCAAUAUCAUCACUUCAAAAUGUUAUUAUAAUCAAUCAUUACAGUGAGAUGGCUUUAUAGUCUUAAAUGAUCCUCUUACCCUUUAAUAAGUUCAGCCUGGCUCAAUACACCAUCAUGGGACCUUGUCAGGUUGACAAGUAGCUUCGCCAAAAGAUCCCGUUCCAUGUCUUUUCUCUCAAAACAGUCCGUUACCCAUAGUGCAAUCAUUGUUGGAUGGAAGCUUGUAGAAUUCAAAUCUUUGAUGCACAAAACAACUUCUUUCUCAUCUCUAGCGCUGUUUCAAUUAUGACACAAAAUUGCCAAUUACUUCAUAAAAGUAAUCAGGUAACACCUAACUACAGCAAAUAUAGAUAUGCAGCAUAACUCCUUAAAAUUUACCACAACACUCACUACUUUGUAUUUUAAAUCAACCCAUCAAUAUCAUAUUACUAUCAUACUCUGAGCAAAAGACCCUUCUAAGGUCAAAUUUAUGUGUUCGCACAUAUAUACACAUCUUCUUAUGGGAAACAAGUCUAAUAUAACAAACUCUAAAAUCAAAUGAGCCAAGAGGAUACCUAUAAAAUUCUUUAAUUGCCUCCAUGGACAUAUCACGCAGGCGCUCCUCAGACCAGCCCUUUUCAGGAGGAAUAUUUUGACUGAAACCAGAUGAUUGGGCUUGUGUGGAAGGUGAAGCUGCAAGAGGUCUAACAAUGCUGCGAUCCGGGGUCCUCGAGUCCCUAUUACCAAAAUUUAUGCCCCGUUCCUGGGAACUUGGCUGCUCAUAAGCAGCUGUUGGUGCAACCCUAUCAGUUCCAAAUCUCGGCAUGAGAUCCUCUCUAGGACCAUAAGUCGUUCGCUCUGAUACAGAACUAAAACCAUUUGAUCCAGCGGUUCUUCUUGAAUCUCCAGAAAUUGGAGAAAUAUUAGCUAGGGGAGUACUGGACAUUACAGAUGGUCCUCUAAAAGACAUCCCUCUACCAAGGCCACCCUGGGGGCCCAAAGUAAUAGAAUCGUCACCAGUUGGUCUUUGAGGCAAGGGAACCGAUAGAGUCCUAGACUCCAAAGACUGUCUGUCAUCCAUGCGAACAUCCUGAGCCCCAAAACCAUGGGGUUGACCCUGCAGCCCCCGGAAACUACUCAUUUGAGAAACUGGAGAAGAUAACAUUGGCCCUCGUGGACUAAAAUCCAUGGGUGCUCUUCUUGCAGUAGCAUUGAAGCCAGGACCACGAGCAAGCCUACCGGAUUGUGCUUGUCGCUCUUGAGCAGCAUCUCUGUGCACUUCCUCAAUCUUUUUAGGCCCUUCAACUUUCCUCCUCUGCUGCCAUUUAUUCUUUCUCAGAUCAAUAGCAUCCCUCAACAUGAACCUGAUCCUAGAAGACAAUUUCAUAUUGUUCGACAACUUCGCCAUCCUCUCAAAAUAAGCAUCCAUAUGCACCUUUGCCUUAGGAUGGUCAAUCAUUUCUCCAAUCGUACUCAUUAAUUUGCACAAUGCCUCGACAUCUUCCUCAUCAGGAUUCUCGUAUUCACCAAGUAGUUUCUUGAUGCAUUCAUGCAUUAUUCUCUCAGUUAACAUUUUCUUCUUGUACAACUCCCCAAUAAGUCUAAUGUUACCUAACAUUCGUCUUCGAGCCUUGAUUCUCUUCUCCUCUCUUUCCUCCUCAGACAGCUUAGCCUCACCCUCUUCCUCUAUUUUAUUUGCUUCUUCUUGCUCUCUCUCCCCUCUCUCAAAUUCCUCCUGGCACUUGUUCAGCAGCAAUCUCUUGAAAGUUAUCUUUUCAUUGUUCUCGAUAAAAUCAGGCAACUCCCCAGCCAGACACUGGCAGAAGUUUGCAUACAUUUCACAAAAAGUAGGCUCCAUCAAAGCUUUGUCAAAUAUCUGUGAGAUGACACCAGUGAGUGUAACUGCAUUGUCAAUGUUAACAGCUUUUACUUGCUCAAAGAGUUUCUCAAAAUUUUGAGGAGUUAGCUUGUUCAAAAUGGACUUCAGCUGCCUUUGCUUGGCUUCUUCCUCAUCAGUCACUUUACCCACUUGAUACUUCCUUUCAGCUCUGUGCAUUGUCUGCAAUGGAGUUUGUGGAGAGGGAAUUAAACCCUUCUGCUGAUACAUAACACCACGAUGCCACCUGUCAGCAUCAGGACCACUGUGUUGCAUCCCUCCAUGUGGACUCAUAUGCAGCAUUUGCCCACCAGGGACCCCUCCGAGAUAUGGAAGAGGUGUUUGCGCCCACGGGUGCCUUAGAACACCAAAGUUACCUCCUUGGACAGGCCGAAAACCUGCAACAGCACCAUAACCAAGAUCAAGUCGCAGAUCCCUUCCAGGGCCGAAAGGACCAGGUGGUCUCAUCCAUCUGUCAUCAUCAACAAUUCCACUAGCACGGCGAUCUAAUCGAGAUCCACUAGAUUGCCUAUCUAAUUUUCUUCCAGGACUUGGGUAUGAAUCAUGAUCAACAGCAUGAGAUGCAUUGACAUUUGCAGCCAUCA
RNAcentral lists this long non-coding RNA (43969 nucleotides) under Gossypium raimondii (Peruvian cotton). RNAcentral's name for it is "long non-coding RNA (GRAI_LNC006506)". The record is from RNAcentral. Lineage: Eukaryota; Viridiplantae; Streptophyta; Magnoliopsida; Malvales; Malvaceae.